CAGCAGCCGCGGUAAUACAUAGGUCCCGAGCGUUGUCCGGAUUUAUUGGGCGUAAGGGGAGCGCAGGCGGUUUAGUAAGUCUGAAGUUAAAGGCAUUGGCUCAACCAAUGUAUGCUUUGGAAACUGUUAGACUUGAGUGCAGAAGGGGAGAGUGGAAUUCCAUGUGUAGCGGUGAAAUGCGUAGAUAUAUGGAGGAACACCGGUGGCGAAAGCGGCUCUCUGGUCUGUCACUGACGCUGAGGCUCGAAAGCGUGGGUAGCGAACAGGAUUAGAUACCCGAGUAGUCCCUGUCUCUUAUACA
Molecule: ribosomal RNA, 301 nt
Filed under: uncultured bacterium
Lineage: Bacteria
Description: partial 16S ribosomal RNA
Rfam family: Bacterial small subunit ribosomal RNA
Source: RNAcentral